Molecule: transfer RNA, 72 nt
Filed under: Ovis aries (sheep)
Lineage: Eukaryota; Metazoa; Chordata; Mammalia; Artiodactyla; Bovidae
Rfam family: tRNA
About the family: Transfer RNA (tRNA) molecules are approximately 80 nucleotides in length. Their secondary structure includes four short double-helical elements and three loops (D, anti-codon, and T loops).
Source: Rfam by way of RNAcentral
UCCCUAGUGGCUCAGACAGUAAAGAAUCUGCCUGCAAUGCAGGAGAUCCAGGUUCAAUCCCUGGGUCAGGAA